GACGAACGCUGGCGGCGCGCUUAACACAUGCAAGUCGAACGGAAAGGCCUGCUUUCCCUUGUGGAUUGCGGGUACUCGAGUGGCGAACGGGUGAGUAACACGUGAGUGAUCUGCCCCCAACUUGGGUAUAAGCCUGGGAAACUGGGUCUAAUUCCCGAUAGGACUGCAGGGUGGUGCCUGUGGUGGAAAACGAUUUUCUAGUGGUUGGGGAUGAGCUCGCGGCCUAUCAGCUUGUUGGUGGGGUAAUGGCCUACCAAGGCGGCGACGGGUAGCCGGCCUGAGAGGGUGGACGGCCACAUUGGGACUGAGAUACGGCCCAGACUCCUACGGGAGGCAGCAGUGGGGAAUAUUGCACAAUGGGCGGAAGCCUGAUGCAGCGACGCCGCGUGGGGGAUGACGGCCUUCGGGUUGUAAACUCCUUUCGACCGCGAGGAAGCCACCUGGUUGGAAGGGUGGUGACGGUAGCGGUAGAAGAAGCACCGGCUAACUACGUG
This 494-nucleotide ribosomal RNA is filed under the name uncultured bacterium. RNAcentral describes it as "partial 16S ribosomal RNA". It matches the Rfam family "Bacterial small subunit ribosomal RNA", at positions 28 to 507 of the family's 1533-position model. The record is from RNAcentral.